CGGUGGGAGAGGGCACCCCGGGCGAAGGCGGCGAUGGUGCUGCUCGGCAGUAGCGGAAGAAUAGCAGGCGGGUGGAUACCCAGUACAUCCCAUGACAUCAUUCCCACAAGCCUGAUUGCCAGAGGGAUGGAAUCUGUGACUCUGUCCUUGGGAAGAUGGCAGUUUUCGGUUUCCAUGGUUGCUUCUGAGAAGAGGGACUAGCUACUGUGGCUCCUCACCCUCAUGCUCCUGGAGGUCUGCUGAGGUCUUGCUCCUGUGAGGUAACCUGGAAGAAAACAUAAAAGCACUGAUAAAGGUUGCAGAUGACACAAAGAUUGGAG
This is a long non-coding RNA of Mauremys reevesii (Reeves's turtle), 320 nucleotides long. RefSeq lists it as uncharacterized. The transcript has 3 exons. The record is from RefSeq and is a predicted model, not a curated record. Lineage: Eukaryota; Metazoa; Chordata; Testudines; Geoemydidae.